Long non-coding RNA from Dreissena polymorpha, 2045 nucleotides. RefSeq lists it as uncharacterized. The record is from RefSeq and is a predicted model, not a curated record. The transcript has 3 exons. Lineage: Eukaryota; Metazoa; Mollusca; Bivalvia; Myida; Dreissenidae.
AAUUUGUACGGACAUUCAUUAAGUCCAAUAAGUUUUAUUUUCUGAUCAUAUCGGGCUUUCGAAGUGCAAUCUAACCCUUCAUAAUAGUCAAAAGACAUUUUAAAAACCAAUUACAGGACAUUUAAUUACCUAUCGACUUCCCAAUAGGAAUGCAAUUGACGAAAUAUCAGCAGAGGUGCUCAAUCAGCGUAGUAAAUCGACCGUAUCUAGGGCAUUGUUUUCACCGUCGCUAAGGGACUGCCCCUUUUGUGACGUCAUCGCGAUAAGGUCAAUAUGUCCUUUAAACACUGGCAAAAUUGGUGGUUUGUAAUCCAUGUUUAUAUUUCAAAUUAUUCCCCUUGAAUGACACACAGCACACAUCUCGUAGUGUACAUUGUCAAUGACUAUUUAACACUUUAAAUCAAAGUGACAUCGAGUAAUUUUGGAUGAUUUCGAUCGAAGAAGGUUCGGAAAUGAUAUUUCCACAAUAAUAAAAUAGCAAAGCAGACGAAGGCCAGUCAUAUGGUAAAGGUGCAAAUGCUGUGGUCUGAGCCAGGUUCACCACUACUUCAAAACAUACGGUCUUGGCGAACAGCAUGCUCUGACUUUCAGUGUGACAACUGUUGUGGCCAAAAUCAAAACAACAUAGUCAUCUGGUACCUUCUGUGGAGAGUUCUUGUAGAAACUUCAAUGCAGAAACAUUGAUGUCAGGGCGUCUGUGGGGUUAUUGUCAAGGACGGGCCAUAACAUUCCCCAGUUUGUGGGGGACACUUCCAAUCCUGUUGUUUUCUACGGUUGGAAGGAUAACCUUUCAACAUUUUUUAACUCCAUAAAGAAUGUCGCCAAAUUUCACCAAUUCCAUGUGUCAGCAGAUCAUCCGGUUGUUGUGGGAGUGCAGGGAAUUUAGUGAUUCACCAGUAGUCAGAAUCACUCUCAGGAAGGUUUCGAAAGUUAAUGUUAAUGUGAGCUGUGACGACCUGCCAAAAGAAAUGUUUGCUAAAGGGCUUGAUCUAGACCGUCAGUGGUACUUAUUUGAACACAUACGUGAAUUCUGUCGCACAGAUGAAGCCAAAAACUUGACAUGUCCUAAAACCCGCUACUGGUAAGCGACAAAAAACAGACUCAGACUAUGCCCCCCCAAAACAGAAGAUGCAUUAAGAUGCACAACUGAUCUUCUCUGAUCAUGCCACAACAAUUACAUACAUCAUGUUUCAGUGUUUAUUUUGGCCAAGAUAUUGGGUGAUUUAUUUUCCCCCAAACAGUGCAAAAACCUUUUAUUUUGAGGAAAGCCAAUACAUGUACAUGUAUAUGAUUGCUAAAUCUGUUAGUUGUUACAGGUUUUGAAGUGUUCAAUACAAUAGUUAGUUGUUCUUAUUGCACAAGCAUGUUUUUCAAGCUUUUUACAUAUCAUUUUCACUAAACAAAAAUCAAUUAUUCAGUGUUACUUUCCUUUUUUUUUCACCUUAUGGACACAGACUGCCUUUCCGAAAAACUUGAAAAAAAUCAAUGUGAAUAUUUAUGUUUUACCAUGAAAAUCCUAUAAUUUUGUUUGUUUUCUUCGUUGUUUCCAUAGUAACAAAACAAUUGAUAUGUAAAAAAAUAUUGUUUAUUUUAUAAUGUCAGAAAUGAUGAUUAAUAAUCAUUAUUACAUUCACUGAAACAUUUAGUAUCCAAGUGUACUUUCAACCAACAGUUUUCAAUGCUGUUUUAUCCAUUCUGUUGUGUUUGAGGUUACAUUAUACUUGAAUACACAUGUAACUGAAUUAAAAAGGAAAUUGUACAUGGAACAAAAAAAAAUUGAUUGUUAUUGUUUUACUAGUUACAAAAACAGUGCAAUUUAUAUUGUUUUCGCCUUUAAACAAACACUUGAUUGAUAAUGCAAUUCAUAUAUUUAUAAAAGGCGUGAUUGUUUGCUCUGGUGAUUAUUACCAUGUAGAUCGGUUACCAUAGCAACACAAAAGGUACAUUUUAAAUGUCCAUAAUGCUGUUGUCAGUUUAUUGCAUUAUAAUUAUGUAUUUGAUGUCAGAAAGAUUAUUGUUUUAAUAAAACAGUUUGCUUGUUGUUU